UAACAGGAUUUUGAUACCCUGGUAGUCCACGCCGUAAACGAUGAGUGCUAAGUGUUAGGGGGUUUCCGCCCCUUAGUGCUGCAGCUAACGCAUUAAGCACUCCGCCUGGGGAGUACGGUCGCAAGACUGAAACUCAAAGGAAUUGACGGGGGCCCGCACAAGCGGUGGAGCAUGUGGUUUAAUUCGAAGCAACGCGAAGAACCUUACCAGGUCUUGACAUCCUCUGACACCCCUAGAGAUAGGGCUUCCCCUUCGGGGGCAGAGUGACAGGUGGUGCAUGGUUGUCGUCAGCUCGUGUCGUGAGAUGUUGGGUUAAGUCCCGCAACGAGCGCAACCCUUGAUCUUAGUUGCCAGCAUUCAGUUGGGCACUCUAAGGUGACUGCCGGUGACAAACCGGAGGAAGGUGGGGGAUGACGUA
Molecule: ribosomal RNA, 418 nt
Filed under: Bacillus atrophaeus
Lineage: Bacteria; Bacillati; Bacillota; Bacilli; Caryophanales; Bacillaceae
Description: bacterial SSU rRNA
Rfam family: Bacterial small subunit ribosomal RNA
Source: RNAcentral